Long non-coding RNA from Spinacia oleracea (spinach), 2915 nucleotides. RefSeq lists it as uncharacterized. NCBI's taxonomy places the organism in Eukaryota, Viridiplantae, Streptophyta, Magnoliopsida, Caryophyllales, Amaranthaceae. The record is from RefSeq and is a predicted model, not a curated record. The transcript is spliced from 6 exons.
UUCUUCCUGAAUUAGUUCUUCUAGUACAUGAAUUAACCUCUCAGUCAAUGUAUUGAUGUUCAGUUAUUUAGCACCAAAAAUGAUAUAUGUCCCGCUCCAAUUUGCCUUUACCUAGAUUCUAUGAUUAGGUACGAAUUUUUUCUUAAGGAACCGUGAUGAAUAGUCCACCUCUUCAGAGGAUAUUGUUCUCAAUUAUGACUUUCUAAUACAUGUCAACGGUGGGAAACCAUUAAUAGAGGGGGGUAAGUCUUGUUUAAUUCAUAUUAUGCAUAACAGAUAACUCUCCGUAUGUUUUUAUUAAAUUGAUGCUAACUCUGGCUGGAUUAAUGAUAAAUUUUACGGAUUUUUCAUGAAAUGCCCCUGAGGUUUCACGAAAUUCACCAAAUACACCUGCAUGUUUUAAAAUACAUAGUAUACCCCUAUUUUUUAAAAUAAUGCACUAAAUACCCUCAAAGGCUAACGGACGUUAACGCCGUUAGUCAUUAGCACGAAUCAAUCUAAAUUAACAUAUAAUUAGUUAUCCAUUACUCCUAAUUAACUCAUUUAUUCCUAAUUAACAAACUAACCUUAAAAAAUAAUCCUUCUUCCUUUCUUUUUCCUCUCCACUUCCCUGCUUUCACUCUCCUCUAGCCAUUACUGAUAGCUUGGUACAUCUCCCCCACCACCACCAUCAAACAUCAUGAACCCAAACAUUAGUCCUGGUGUUCCCCAUAAAUAGUUAUUUACAUCAGUAAACACCAAAAAUCCAUCUCCCAGAAAACCCAUUUCUUGAUGUUGUUACUCACAUUUUCUCUCUCCUUCAAUAAUGGCAACAGAAACUCCUCAUGUUGAUUCUUCAUCUGAGUAUUCAAUCCCUUACUCUGAACUCUUCCCACUUGUUAAAUUCACGGGUUUUAGUUCCACCAAAUGGGGAUUUCUUAGGGUGAGGUGCUUUUGAUUCUUUUACCCAAUUCACUUUACUUGCCAAUUAUCAUGCUGUCAAAAUCAAACCUAAAAUCAACCUAGCUAAUUAAGUUGUGGGUAGCAAUUAAUGAUGAUGAAUUGAAACGGGCCACCCAAAAUUCCACCCAACAUUUCAUUAUCAUGAUGAAUUACUCCCCAGCUACCCACCGCUCUAUUAGUUAGGUUUGAUUUUGACAGUGGGGGGUUAUUGUUCUGGUUGUUUGUUUCGUCAAUUGAAUUUUGUUUAUUGCCGUCGUUUGAAUCAAAAACCAUUUUGUAGGAAAAAUUAAGUUUGGGUAUGUGAUUGAAUUUGGGAAUUAGGGUUCUUGGAUUUGCAAAAGUUGUUUUGUGUGGAUUUUGGUGGUGCUAAUUGAUGAUGGAAUGCCGGAGGUCGGAUAAUGGGGCAGUGAGUUGGUGGUGGUGGUUACUAGGCGCAGGAGAUCGAAGAGAAAGGAGCGGUAGCUUGGGUUGCUGGUCCGUUGGUGGUGGUGAACGAGAAGGUGGUUGGGGCGGCGAAGGGUCAGGAGAGAAUGUGAACGGUUGUAGUGGUGGACGGAUGAGCAAGAGGCUGACAUGGUGCAGGAGAUCGAAGAGAAAGGAGCAGUAGUAAUUGAAAGUGGGUUGAGAAUGAAAGAAGAGAGUGAAAGAAGAGAUAUUAAGGGAGGGGCAAUAUAGUAAUUUAGUAGGUUAAUUGUGGGUUAGGUAGUUAAUUAAGAGUUAAUAUUAACGGAGUUAGACUUCCGUUAAAAAUAAGGGUAUUUGGUGCAUUUUUUAAAAAAUAGGGGUAUACUAUGUAUUUUGAAACACGCAGGUGUAUUUGGUGAAUUUCGUGAAACCUCAGGGGCAUUUCAUGAAAAAUCCGUAAAUUUUAAUAGGGAAGCCUGCAACUAAUGGUCAUCUCUGCCCGUCGAUUUUCUUCUAACUUACAACACAUUUGUUCUCAAGGAGACUCUCAACAGUUGCAUCUGCAUCUGACUGUGCCUUAUCAACAACCUUAGUGGCUCUUUUCACCGUUUCCAGCAAGUUUGCAACUAUCUUACACCUCGUCAAACCUCUUGAACUCAGAGCACAUUUCCUUUUCAAGCAUUGGACAUAAUAAGGGGAAAUAUCUCAUUGGUACUGAUGGAUUCAUCACUGGAAGGACAAUAUAUAGAUGAGGAUGCUGCUACAAUGAUUGAAUUAGCAUAAAAAUGCCUUCAGUAUGAACCCAGGGAUCGACCUGACAUCAAAUUCCUUUUUGUAGCAGUAGAUCCCCUGCAAAAAAAAGGUUACAUCUCAUGUUCUGAUGGGGUUUCCGAAGAUUGCAGUAGUAGUGCCAAUAAUGACCUCUCCCCUAGGAAAGGCUUGUGAAAGCAUGGAUCUCACAGCUGUGCAUGACAUAUUGCUUAAAACUGGUUAACAAUGAGGUCAUUUCAGUUGCUCCGGAGAAUACUACAAAACUAGUGUUAUUUGUAACAAGGACCUUCGGCUGCUUUAUUAAAUACCAGUGUAAAAAAAACUGGUCAUUUGUACUUGUUGGUGGCUCAUAUUGGCAAGCUUCAAGAAAAGUUUAGCAACCAACUUAUUCAUUACAUUGUAAAGGAAGCCCCAAGGACGUUAAUCGUGAUAAUCUGAAGCUGAUCGCGUGUGAUAAAUAUUUAAGGUCGUCGGUGGUCUUUUCUCUUGCUUUAUUUCUUUUACAUUUAUUUGGUUAUAUUUUUAUUCUUAAAAGUUGUGUUUAUAUUUAGAAUUUGGUUGGAGAAACAAGUUUCAGAACUUAAUAUGUAAAGCGUUGUCUAUUUCAAUGAUAUCCAUCCAUCCAUUUUUUUAUAUAAAUGACAUUGUAGUUUCGAAUGGAAGUGAUGUAAUGUAUGGUUGGUGGUAUCGUGUUUUGUAAAGGCAUGGUGGUGGCACAGCUACUGCUCUAUUGCGGUUGCUGUUACACCUAGCUUACUGCUGUAUUAUUUUUUUAAAAAAAAUAAAACAAUUAGUAA